RNAcentral lists this long non-coding RNA (523 nucleotides) under Sinocyclocheilus grahami. Its description in RNAcentral is "lncRNA (ENSSGRG00000052493.1)". Lineage: Eukaryota; Metazoa; Chordata; Actinopteri; Cypriniformes; Cyprinidae. The record is from RNAcentral.
GCAGUGAGCCGCUGUGUUCAGUGCAGGCUGUGAAUGGAGGCGCAGCACUGCAGUUCCUCUGUCUGUGGCCAGGCGGUGCUCCAGAAGCACAGGUGUCGUUUCCCGGCCUGAGCAUGAAUGCCAGUGGAUACAGCAAUUACAGUAUGACUAUAAACGACACUCAGAGCUUAAACGGAAGAGAAAUCAUCUGUAAAGCCGAACAUCCUCUGGUUCAGACACAAUGCAGUGUCAUUCCUCGCAGUCCUGUGGAUUUCCUCCCAGUAAUUUUCACCAGCAUGAGUCAAGAUGAACAGACAUUGGUUGUGAUUCAUUGCUCUGCUGAAGCAACACCUCAAGCUCUUGUGCACUGGAUCAAGGAUGGAAACCGCUUGCAAACUGGGCCCAAAUACCAGAUCAGUACAAACACAACUCAACUGUUUAUUUAUGAUUUUAAUGUCACUACAGACCUCGACACCUACACCUGCACUGCCAUCAACCCUCUCGGCAAUAAAACUGUGGACACUGCACUACUUGGCCCUCAAAU